RNAcentral lists this small RNA (528 nucleotides) under Arabidopsis thaliana (thale cress). Its description in RNAcentral is "ATSL053690". The record is from RNAcentral. Lineage: Eukaryota; Viridiplantae; Streptophyta; Magnoliopsida; Brassicales; Brassicaceae.
UUAUACUAAAAAUAUAACAUGUCUUUAUUAACCAUGUCUUUGCAUAUUAAAUCUAAUCAUAUUUAACUUGAUGUUCUUGGAAAGUUUAGUUAAGUUCUUGUCAUAAUCUUAUAUCUUACAUAUUAGUUAUAAGGAUAGCUCCUCAAACAUCUUUCAAAAUACUUGUUUCUUAGCAUAAUUCUCGAAAAGCUUAGAUAUAUUUAAUCUGCAUAUUCAUUUAGUUUCUUUCAUAAUAAUCGUCUAAUUUUUAGGCAAGGAAUAUGUGUAACAUGUUUGGAUUUUAUGAUCACUUUAACCACUCAAGUAGAUCUCAAAAUUAAAGAGGAUAUAUUGAAUUAAAAAAAAUAUAAAAACUGUGAUGGUUCAAGUUCUGAUUAAUUAUAUCCUCUUAUUUUAGUUGUUAUGUUAAAUUAUUACUAAUUAUUUAUUACUAAUUAUUUAUUACUUAUUUUAUGAAGUUUAUGUGGCAAACUCUAUGUGCUAAUGUGUAAAGUCGUGAGAGAGAGUUAACAAUCCUUUCGAUUCAUA